UCUGGAGGGGAGGCCAUGGGAGUGAGAAAGCUUGAGGAUUUGAGUGGCGGUGGACUUGACGGAGGAGAGGGAAACGGAGAGGGCGGCGGUGGCCAAAAGGCGGGGACUUGUUUGGAUGGCAUUGGCAUGGACUGAAAGAGAUGAAAAACAGAGACGAGGGUAAGUGGUGGAACUGCAAGAGCUUUUUAUGAACUCUGUGCUGCUUUGUGGAGUUAUGGCUGAAUGAAUCAGUGUUAAUUGGAGAAUUAAUUGGAAAAGAAUCAAACUUUUCUUGGAGUUUGAGAUACCCAUCUCUGUUUUUUUUUUUUUUUUUUUUUUUUAUGCAAAUGGAAGGAAUUUAGGAGGAAGGGGAAGUGAUGAAGAGAAAGGGGUGAAAUGGGUUUUGUAUUUAUAAGCAAAUGACCAUUGCAUUUACACAUAAAAGCUAAGUCUCAGAGACAAACUAGAGGUUUAGAGGACUUUGAGGCAAACAGAAAAAUAAGUUAUUAAAUUUGUAUAUUCUUAAAUCACCCAUUGACGUAAAAGUUUAAGAUGACUAGUAAAAAUACAUUUAAUAUUAUAUCUUACUUGUACGUUUGAAAUUUAAUAUUAUAUCUUACUUGUACGCUUGAAACAUGAAGAAACAUCAAACAAGUAGAAAUUAAUUUUAUUUGAGAAGAAAAUAUCAUUCAAACAGUUUGACAUAAGAUCUUUAUGCACCAUUCACUCUAGUAUUAUCUUAAAACACUAAUUGAUCAAAAGGCUUAAGGGUUUUUAUAUCGAUGACCCAUUGUUAAAUAUGUUUUAGUUUCGUAACCUUCCUCGAGUAAAUAAGAAUUAUAACCUUUCACUUACAUCACAUUUACUUUUUAAGAAGCACACAGUCGUACUUGUGAGCAUCAAUCCAAGCUGAUUAAAGAGGCACCUUGUGCCUGAGUUAACAUACCCUGAUGAAAAUUUUAAGUGCGCUGAACUUUCUCCCUCACACUCGUGAGUACCCAAUUAGGUUGAUUAAGACGCCCUAGUUUGAGUCUGAUUCAAUCAUAAAACUGCAAGGGGCAAGCAAGACUAAGUUUCUUUCCGUACAAAAAUCUAUAUGUUGUUAGGCUUGUUUAGAAAUUAUUUGUUUUUUUUUUCCAAUGAUUUUCAUCUAUCUCAGGUAAAAAAUAGUUGAAUUAUUAACCAAAUUUUAAUUUUUAAAAAUUCUUAAAAACUAAAAAUAUUUUGUUAGAUGAAAAUAAAUAUUAUAUUAUUAAUUUUAUCUUUAAGCUGAGAUUUUUGAGAAAAUUGUUUAAUUUAACAUAUUAUCAAAGCAAGUGAUGGUUGAGGUCCUAUGUUCGGUAGAAGAUGUGUUUAUAGGUUUAAUUUUGAAAAACAAAAAAUUAAGAUCCCAAUUGGUAAUUAUUUUGCUUUUGAAAAUUAAGCCUACAUAUCCUACUUACAUUUUCAAAUUUCUUGCUUUAUUUUCUACCUUUUACCAAUAGUUUAAAAACCAAGAAUAAAUUAUAAAAACUAAAAAUAUAUUCUAAAGAGGGAUGAAUCAUAAAAAAUAGAAAGGAAAAAACGCUUAAUUUUGAAAAACUAAAACAAAAAAUAAGAUGAUUAUGAAAAGAAGCCUCAUAAUUUGUAACUUUCUUCCCUAUAUACUUUAGUUGGAAUAACAGGAACCAAAUUUUUAUUUUUUUGUGAAUAACUUUCUUUUUGUUCUGUUCAUAACAAUUGUCCAAAUAUGUUAGUCAGGAGAGAUGGGAAGGUUGAGAAAGCGAGAGAAUAAUAAUAAUUUGGAUGACCGACAAAAAUAAAACCCAACAAUUAUAUAAUAAUAAUAAUUUUUUUAAAAAAAAAUUAACAUUUAAAAGACGUACUAUUGUUUUUAAAAUUUCACUUUGAAUAAAACUCUUAUAUUAAAAAAAAUAAAAUAAAAUAAAAAGUACAAGCCAUCCUGAGAAAUGAAAAGAAAAUAAGUAAAACUUUUCAAAAACUAAAUAACUACCCAAAGCCCAACGGAAGUUUAAAUAUAAUUCUAACUUAUAUAUUGCUUUCUCCUCAUUAUAUUUAUUGUUCAAUUACUGGUCUUUUUCAAAUUGUGUUGUCCAAGUCGACUUGCAAGUCCAUUUUGUACGGAAAUACUACAUUCAAUAUAUAAUAAGAAAAAAAUAAACUAUUUAUGAAUAUAAUUAAUUAUAGUUUUUUAUUAUUAAUGGUGAGAAAAAUAAAGAGGGAAUCGUAUGGGAGGAAGGAAAUGGGUGUUUUUGGUGAACCUCCUCAAACUUCUACUUGCAUGCAUUUCUCACUCUCUCUUACGCCUCACUAAUGCUCAAGUUUUCUUUUCUUUUACAAAAACAAACACUUCUCAGUCGUCAUUGUCAAUAACCAAACUGAUGUCUCACCGCUCAUAUCAAAUUUCAUUCAAUAAUAACUAAAUAAACCUUUACGUCCCACCACAUGUUUAAAUGCAAUUAAAUCCCCUUUAAUCAUUUUAAAUUAAAUAAACUUUCCCAAAAUUAACUUAUCUUCCUCUAUAUGCUAAUUGACACGACAAAAAAAAAUAUAAAUAUUUGAUCUAUCAUCCAUACACUUGAUUUAGUCAUCAAAUAAAAAUAAAAAUAUAUAGAUUGUUUUUUUUUUUGUCUCUUUAAUUUUUCUUGUUAGUAUACAUUAGAACUAUAAGCUAUAUUUAUUUUGACAAAAAAAAUUAAUUUAGUUCGAUAAAUAAUAACAAAAUCUCAUGGAUAUUAUUAAAAGAGAAUAUUUGAGAAUCCAAACUUUUUAAUAGUCAAUUUUGGGUUUAAAUGAAAGAACAAUGACAAUUCUUUUUGUUAAUUUUGGUGAGCCCCAAAUGAUUCGGAACCAAUCAACUUCUGAAGUUAAGGUUAACCAUUUCCAACAACGUUGUUUCUACUUUAUUUAAAAUAUCUCAAGUCUUCUUCGACAAGAGAUGCGAGCAUCAUUGUUUUGUUUCAAAUUUUUUUUUUUAGAUUUGAAAUUUAAGUCUAUUUACUCUUUAUUUUAUACAAUGAUUUGUAUCCUUUUUAAGUGUAAUGAUCGAAUUAUUCAUCAAAUUUCAACAAUAAAAGUAAAAAAUAAAAAAUAGUUAUUUUAUAUAUGCAAAUGUUGAAAUAAUUUGAAUUGAGCAUUUAGCAACAAAAUGAGGGGAAUGAAUGUGGGGGUGGUAAAAUGAUUUGGACAUUCUCUAAUCUCUACCAUAAUUUUCAAAUGUCAAUAUCUUAGUUAUUGCAAUCAAAAACAACAAUAUAUAUCACCUCUUUUCCAUACAUACUUUAGAUGUGAUCUUUUAUUUUCCUCUUUUCUUUUUUUCAAACUAGUCAGGGCCACCAACUUUUUAUUUCAAAUAAUUAUAUCACAUUUUUUAUUUAAAACAAUAACUUUUAAAAACCACAUCUUUUUUUAGAUAUUAUAUACUUAUUUUUUAAAAAAAAGCAAACAAAAGAUGCUUCAAGAACUUAAUUUCAAAGCUAAUUUUCUUUAAAGAAAAUAGAUUUAUUUUCAAAAACUUAAAGACUAAAUACUGAUAAAGUUGAAGAUCAAAAACAUUAAACUUUUCAAACUUAAGAACGAAACGCACGAAUUCAUCUUCAAAACUUGAAAACUAAGAAAGUUAUUGUAUUUCGAAACAUAAUUUUUUAAAAAGAUUUCAAUGCAUAUCCAUAAUCUUUAAGAGUUGUAUCCGUAUGAACUUCAAAUAUAAAUUAACCAUUAAACGAUUGUCAACCGUAGUUCACAUUGCAUUGUGUUUAACAAUGUUGAGAGUGAAAAUGCAAAAUUUAUAUGAUUUUUUCAAACAUCAUUUAAUUUAUAUGUUUUCAAAUCUAUUGGGGAGCUUCUGAUUUAGAUUAUUGGUACUUAAAAAUUUCUGUACGUAAUUAACCAAAUAUUUUGUGAAUUAAUUUCAAUCUUAAAAUCUUUUCUAUUCACGUCAAAGUACAAAAUCUGACAAUAAGAAAUUAGUAACAUAUUUUCUUCUUAAACAUUUAUCUAUAGUAUCUUUUGAUUAAGAAACAUAAUCAAUUGUGUAAGGAAGGAAAAAAGAAGUGAAUAAGGAAACAAUCUCCAUGAUUGUAUUCAAUGAUAUUUUAAUAAAACCCAAAGAACUACAGGAAAUUUUAUAUAUAAUUGAGAAAUAUAGAGCUAUUAUAUAUACAUGGACCGCAUCAGGUAGACCAAAAAAAAAAAAAUGCAACAAUAGACUAGAGAGUCUUUUAAAGAGAUGUGAAUGAUAGAAGAAAUUUCUUGUAGCGGUUGAAUUGGAAAAAUUAAAUGAGUUUUUGGAGGUGAUAUUUUGAUAUAUAUCAUGUUGAAUGGAAGUAUAAAAUUACUCGUAAAAGUCAAUACUAGUUGCUUCAAAAGUUUCUUCAUUCCAACAUCAUAAACCUCUUAAAAUCGAAAUUUAAAAUACGUCAAAUUAACAACAAUAAAGGUAAGUAGGAGACGAACAAUUUGGAUCGACUAUUAAAUGUAAGUAGGUGAGAGACUGAAAAUUGAAGGUAUUUUAGUAGACAACUCAAACUCGUAUCAACUUUUCAAUACCAAAUAUUACUUUUUGUAUUUUGUUUGAACAUUGAAAGUUGUGUGGAGUUAUAAUGAUAUUUUAGAGGGUGAGGAUGGAGGAAAAGAGUUACCAAAAUAUAACUAGAUUGCAUUUUUAUUUCUUAUGGGAUAGUUAAGAAUAGUUAUUCUACUUCCUAUAUAUAAAUUUUCCUUAUUGCUAUACUAGUUUUUUUUUUUUUUUUAAUAGUUGAAUUCUUUCACCCAAAUACAAGGUAUUUAUGGUCAUUUAAAAGUUGUUUGACUCACUUUAUUGAAUAUACAAUUUGUUGUUGUAUUUUUUUAGUAGAGUGUAUUUGUGAGAACCAAAAAGUUAUUUUAAGCACAAAAUAUUUGUGUUUUUUUUAGUUUUAAUACAUAUUUUUAUCGUUGUUAAUAUAGAAUCUCAUGGGUAGGAAUUUGAUUUUUCAUUUUUUCUUAAUAAAUAGUUAAAUUUAAAAAUAUUUUUUAAUAAUAGUGAAAUCCUACGAAAGGUUGGUUAUCUUUGUUCUUUUCUACUAUAAUAUAACCUCUUUUGUAAAAAUUGAUAUGUGAUUCUUGCUGAUUAUGUUAUUCAUUUAAUGAAGGAGAUUUUAAAAAAUACAACAAACCUACCGGAACAAUUUUAAAAACGAAAAAGCUCUAAAUAUAUUAAAGUAUGUACCAACAUAAUUGUACAUACUUUAAAUAGAUUUGGCUACCCAAAUCUAAACUGUAUCAAUACAUCUUGUUGGAAGGGGCUGACAAGUAUAGUUACCACUAAACUGUUUAUAAAUAUUAAGUAUAAAUUUGUUUUGUUUAUACAUAUUAUAUAAAGACAAUAAAAUUGAGGGGGUUCGAGCCCCUGAGCCUAUACUAAAUUCGCCGGUGAAUACAAAACUAAGUAUGUAUGUGAAGUUUAUUUGAUAUAUACACACAACACUGUAUAUAUAGACUAGCACGGAGGAAAUAUUAAUUUUUUAAAAAAAUAAGAAAAAGGAGAUAAUUUUAAAAAGAUUUUAAAAAGAUAACCUAAUAAUUAAUAAUAAUUUAGAAAAAACCUGAAAAAGGAAAAGAAAAAGUAGAGAAAGUGUAUUUUAAAAAUAUUAUUAUAAUUAAACUAAAGAUUAUUUGGAAUGACUCAAAUAAAUAUUUUUAAAAAAAUCAUUUUUAUUUAAACGCUUUUGAUAAAAACUUAUAAAUUAUUUUUAUAUAUAAGUUUCUUUUAUUUGUUAUAUGUACUAAAAAUAUUUUUAUUAAAAAAUUUUAAAGUUGAGCAGUGGCGACAGUCGCUAGAGUUGGUUGUUGGAAGUUUGUCAGUAGAGUCACCAAAGGUGAUAGUCGGAGUAUGACCAAGACGACUAUUAUCGAAGAUUGACCUAAUUAAACCGUAAAAAUGUUAUUAUUAAAAGUUUGCAAGGUUGAUCGAUAGCGACCAAAGAUGUUUAGUUGGUUGAUGAACUUUCCAACCCUUGGAACAAAUAUCUCUAGGGUUGAAGAAUAGCAAGACAUAUAAGUAAUUUUAAAUUCUAAUUCUAAUAUUCAACUAAAACUAAACAUUGUCCCAAAUAUUGAGCAAACUAUUAUAGCAUAUGCUCCACUUCUAGCCCCAAACAUGUCUUUGAUGGUUAGGAUUUCAAUCUUAUAUUAUUUGAAUUAGUUAGGGGUAUUUUGGUCCAUUGUUAAUUCACAAUUAAUAAUUUUAGAAUUCAUUUUGUUGUUUUUAUAAUUUUUUUUUGUUUUUUCUAAGUGAAAUAUUUUGUUUUGUAAUUUCUCUUCUUAGUUGGCCAAAUAAUAUAUUCAUUAACUCUAAUUUUGGGAUAGUUGCAAAUAUAUAACAAAAUAUUUAAAUAAAUUGUAAAUAUAACAAAAUAUGUCAAAAACUAUCAAUGACAGAAGUGUAUCGCCGAUAGAUCAUGCUGAAAAUAUUAGUCUAUCGACAAUAGACCAUAAAAAUAUAUCAAUAAUAAAAACUUUUAUCGCUUCUAUCGUUGAUAGACCAUAAGAAUCUAUCAACGACAGAAAUGUAUCACGGAUAGAAUUUGCUAUAAUAUUUUUAGUUCUUUUUUUAAUAUUGUUAUAUAUUGAAUUAUUAUUAUAAACAUGGUUACAUGGAUAAUUAUAAUAUAUGAUAAUUUUAUGAAUAAUAAUUAAGCAUAUGUAAUAACAUUUUGACUCUUAUGGCCUAUUAGUGAUACACUUUGUUCUAUUUGUAAUUUUUAAAAUAUUACUAUAUAUAUAUAUAUAUAUAUAUACUUAAUUAUUGUAUGCAACAAUCGAGAGCCCAACCCUGUGUUAUCUAAUUAGGUUGAUAAGCUAAGCCCAAUCCGUAGCACAACCGUCAGCCCAAUUUAAAAAUAGAAAACUAAAACCUCACGCUCACGCCUCCCACUCCUCUCCAGUUUUAAACUUGGGUGAACUUUUAUGUUCUCUUUUCCUUCUCACCCUCAUUCUUUUUCCUUUUCUACAGUUCUUUAACUUUACCAUCCCCUUCCCACUCUGCUCAUCAUAAUUUAUUCAAACAACUAUCUUUGAUAUAUCAGUUAAAACUUUAAAACGGUGAUUGUUGUGGCAUAACGCCAAAGCCACAACCGGUGGAGGUACUUUUUUCUUUUAUUGAGGGAUAGCAAAACUUUGACGAAAAAAUAAAACGGGUUUAAAAAGGCGCUAUACUGUGAGGACUGUCGAUUUUAGAUGAUUCAUCUUUAAAUCGAGGGUUUCUGUUGAUCUUUGGCUUGUCCACAACCUAACCCAACCCAAACGUACAAACCUUUAAAUUCCUUCUCUACUUUACCUUAAUAAUUAUAAUAACCCGUGAAAAGUAUUACAAAAAUAUUAUAUUUUAUUUGCUUUUACUCUAUUUUUCUAAAUAUAUAUUUUUGUAGGGUAAAAUGCACUUCUGAGUAGAUGCUGACAUGGAUGAGUUAGCAUUUUAUUUAUUUGAUGAUGUGGUGAAUAAACUUAAAAAAGUAAACCUUCUCAAAUUAUAGUGACAUUUCAAAACAUUUUAGAUCUCUCUAGUUAUUUGGAACCUAAUUCAUCUCUUUGGACUACUAUUGAAUCGAAAAAUAGGUUUGAUUCUCCAUCUUUUUUAUAUAAUAGUAAGGCCUCCUUCAGAUAAUUCAAAUUGAAGCAAUUAGAUGUCCAACUCAGACUUGAUAGUCAAAUAUUCACGACCCACAUCCACUUCAAGAGGUGUCGUGGUCUCUAACAGAAGGCAAGUCAACAAUGAACAAUUAUAAAAUACUAGUGUAGAGAGAGGUGUGCAGUAAGAAUGAACCAUGGGCAAAGAAGAAGAUUUUUCACUAUUUUAAGUAUAUUAUAUUUUACUUGCAGGUUUAACUUUUAAGUUAAUUUGUCCACCUAAUAAAAUAAAAUGACAUGUCAAUCUAAUCAAGUCAUGAUUUGAUAACCAUUUCGUUAGGGUAAAGUUAACUAUGUGACCAUUUAGUAUCAUUUUGAAAAUCUUAAAAAGACAAAUUUUAUUUUAAAACUUUAUAGACUAAAUAGACAUCGAAUCUAAAUUAAUUUUUGAUGGUUGUCUACGUAAAAACCAUCUCCCCACAAAUCCUAAUAACUUCAAUAAAAUUAUACAUACUCCAUGGAAUUAAUAAUGCAAAAAUAACUCCAACCUCCACACGUAAACCCUACUUAAACCUAUAUAUUACCAAGUAUAAAAUACCAUGACAAAAACUCCACCAUCUAACCUAAAUAUCAUACUUACACUUCCACCUUUCAAAUCUCACACACCAACAACGUAUAGUACACACUAAUCACCUACCAUCGUCAAAUUUGAGUCUUUUUCCUCAAUCAAAGACAGGUGGUGCACUUCAAGAUACAGCUAAUGCAAAUCAGCUAUCCGAUUAAUCAAAGACAGAGCAUUACUAGUCAACUGCGCAAUGUUGACAAUCUUAGUCCUAACCUCAGCCUUAACGCCUCCGUUCACCGUCUUCCCCUGAAACCCUUCGCUACAUGUGGUUUCAUCCGUCAGAGCGGCGCUAACCCAUGUCUGAACAUUACUCAUUGCGAGGUCGAAAUUGGUUCCACGGAGCUUCGGCAUCUCGGAAAUGGAAGCAGCGAGGGAGUCGACAGAGUCACUCAGUUCUUCCAAACAGUCGUUAAGAGCAGAAACAUCUCUGGAGGGGAGGCCAUGGGAGUGAGAAAGCUUGAGGAUUUGAGUGGCGGUGGACUUGACGGAGGAGAGGGAAACGGAGAGGGCGGCGGUGGCCAAAAGGCGGGGACUUGUUUGGAUGGCAUUGGCAUGGACUGAAAGAGAUGAAAAACAGAGACGAGGGUAAGUGGUGGAACUGCAAGAGCUUUUUAUGAACUCUGUGCUGCUUUGUGGAGUUAUGGCUGAAUGGAUUAGUGUUAAUUGGAGAAUUAGUUGGAAAAGAAUCAAAGUUUUCUUGGAGUUUGAGAUACCCAUCUCUGUUUUCUUUGUGUUCUUAAAUGUAAAUGGAAGGAAUUUAGAAAGAAGGGGAAGUGAUGAAGAGAAAGAAGCGGAAUGUGCUUUGUAUUUAUAAGCAAAUGAAAAAGGUGUAAAAGGGUUGUGUAAGGGUCCCAUAUAAACAGUCAUCAUCCAAUUUGGGCAUAGCCACAUCAUCCUGUAGGAUGUGAAUUCAAAAAUUUAUCCGUUAUUUAGGUUGCUAGGGAAUGAAUCUAUAAAUAAUUAUUUAGAUAUUGUUUGAUUAUUAUUUUGAAUUCAUAACCAUUUCGUUUGUUUGUUUUUAAUUUUUGAAAAUCAAACUUAUUUAAUUUCUUCCAUAUUUGUAUAACAAUAUCUUAAGUUUCAACUAAACUGGAGCAAGAAAAACAAAAGAUUAUCAUUUAAAAUAAUUGAACGAAAAUGUUUACAUAGAAUUGUAGUAAAAGAGAAUGGAGGGGUGUCAUCCAAUAAUUAAUGAAGAGAGAAAAGUGGGAAAUAAAAGUUGAGAGAGUAUCGAGAAAGCGAGAGAGAAUGAAGAUAAAGUUCCAAUAGCCGACAACAUGAGGGUCCAAAUAAAGCCAAAGAAAUAUCCUUUAAUUUUCUUUUUUAUCUUUAUUUUAAUAUUGCAAUGCAUGAACAAAGAUAUUUUUGUUUUGCAUCAACUUUUCUUUUUUUAUUAUAUUUUUUUAAUUUAUGCAUGUACAAACACAUUUCUUGUGCUACAUAUACAAAUCUUAACCACCAUUAUUUUGUGUUAUUAUUAUAUGGUUUUAUUUUGAUUUGGUUGAUUAUGAGAGGUUUUGUGGAGUUGAAGAGUUUUUCACGUUAGCUUUUUGUUUUAAUAUUACAAUCUUUGCAAAAUUUGAUUUUAUUCUUUAACCAUUAGAAUGUGUUUCAACUUUUAGUCUCUCUUUUAACGUCUUACCCAAAAAUGAUGUGAUGUUCUUAAUUAUCAUUAAUCCCCUUAGCAAAAGUAUAAUUUUGCUUCUAACACUAUUAUUAUUAUUAUAUGGUUGUGGUAUUUGGAAAUUAUAUAUUAUUAAAUUAAUCUCUCUUUCACGUAACUCCUCCCUCCUUUUCUUUCUUUUCUAUUUUAACGUCCACAAUUCUAACCUUCACUCUCUCCUCGUAAUUCUUUUUUAUACGUCUAGUUUACUAAUUAUUUUAUUUUUAUUUUUAGUUUCUAAAUUGAUUGUUUUCAAAUAUAAUAAAAGAAGUAAAAAUAUUUAUAAACAAAAAACUACAUGAGAGACAACAAUAGACCAUCAUCUACGUUUAUCUCAUGCACGCUACAAUAUUUAGCUCGAAGUGUACAUAUAUUUAGUUGCAUCUUUUUCUUCAAGUUAAGUCUAUAAAUAACAUUUGUUCUAUUUCUAAAUUUAUUGCUUUAUUCUUUAGUAAUUUUUGCCACUAUUUAAGUCAAGGUUUGAAGACUUAAUAAUAGUUUUAAAAGUUUAUUUUAUUUUAAAUAUUUUUUUACUUAAUAAAAGUGUAAACCAUUGAAAGAAGAUGUGAGAAAAUAAACUUAGAUUUUAAUGUAUGAAAAUCAAAAUAGUUACCAAACAAGAUCUUAGUUUUAUUUUUGAAAAUUAAAUCUCUAAGAACUUGCUGCACGUCUCUAAACUGUUUUAAAAAAUUAAACUAAAAAGAAUAUAUAUAGCUUUUUAAAAGUAUACUGGAUUUACUAGAAUGCAUCUAAAAAUUCAACCAGGUGCGGCAAGAAAUUUGUAUAAAAAUCCUUCAUAUAAGAAAAAUAAUCUUUCAUAAAUGAUAUAUGUAAGUUAAUUCAUGAAGAUUUGAAUAUGGUUUUUUAGAAAUAGAUAAAAGAGUUAAUGGUCAUUACUUCUCAAAUUGUGUUGCCACUCUCUUCUUCUUAAUUUGCUUCUUCAUCCCUCGACGCCCAAUUCAAUCUUCUAAAUAAUUUAUAUCAUUUGUCAAUACUUGCAACUUGAUUUUGUAGCCAAAUGCUACCUAUAUUUUAUAUAUCUCAAAAGGAAAAAAAAGAAAAGAAAUUUGAAGAUAUUAUUUGAAGUUGCAUUGGAAAGCUUUUUUUGGGGGGAGGGGGACAUAAAUGCAAGCAACUUGAUCACAUGAAUUUGGGCCAGAAGUGAGAAAUAAUUUUGAAAGUGGCCCCUAAUAAGACGCAGUUUGGUUAUAAUAAGCAGCUAAGUAUGCAAAAUUGUAUGAUCAAAUCAACAUAUAGCUUUCAAGCAACUGGCCACAAAGGACCCAGUGGUCCGAUACCAUGUCUUUUUCAUCUUAUGCAUUUUUCUUUUUCUUUUCUUUUCUAAUUCUCACUUUUUAUAUAUAUAUAAAAACAAAAAGUUGUUUUCUUGAAUAAUUAUUUAUAACUUAUUUCCUUACAUUCAACUUCACAUUAAGUUACUACAUUAAUAUGGUUAACGUAGUCAUACUAAUUGUUCUUGCUAUAUUUGUACAAUUUAAUAAAUAUGAAUCUACUUUUUAUGUUAAGGAUGGUUUUAGACGAAAAGAGCUAUAAAGUUUUAAAAAGUAUAAAUAUAAAGGUAGAGUCGAGAAAAAAUAGAAUUAACCUAGUUUGUCAAGAUGACUCGUAGAGACUUGCUAGGUCAAACUCAUAUAUAUGCAUCUUUGUAAUACAAAUUUUAUAAAAAUUUCAAAUCCAUUUACAUUUAAAAGUAUUUAUAUUAAAAAGUUUAACAAUGUGUAAAAGUGAGUUUAACUUAGUAAUAAUUGACAUAGUCUUUCAUCCUAAGAAUGUGAGAGAUUUGAAUCAUUUAACCUUCAAUUGUUAUACUAAAAAAAUGUUUAACAUUGUAUUUUAAAAUACAUAACAAAAUCAAAUCAUUUGGCACUAAGUGAACCAACCAUUCUAUAUAGAAAAUACGUAACUGUUUCUAUUACGUUCCAGUGUUUCACCAUGGUUUUUAAAGCAAAUGGAAAGUGCUGUGACGUUAUACAUAUGAUUGGUGACCUCUCACGAUUUUGAGCCAUUGUCAAGCACGGAACAAAGUGAUCACCACCAUCAUGUAAAAUAUAUUUUAGAAACUAAUGAGUAUAUAAAUUUUUUAUCAUAUUAAAUUUGAUCAUACAAUGGAUUCUAAAAAGUAUAAUACAGUUUAAUUUUGAGACUUGGAGUUGUGUUUUUAUUUGGUGUGUGAUCGAGAUUUCAAAAUAUAUCAUACUUUAAUCUUUGAAAUUUGAAAAAUAGUUUUAAAUGUUUCUACGUUAAAAUAACCAAUUAACUAACUAACAAAUAUAUGAUGUGACAUUAUUGUUGUGACAAUUUUAAAACAUAAAUUGUCUACGCUCUUUUACCUCACUCGAUUUAGUGACUUGUAACAAAUAUAUAAAAAUAGACUAUUAAUCAAUAUUGAUUUUGUGUGAAUAUAAAUGGUGAUAUUUUGUUAUAUUUUAAAAUAGACAUACUAAAUAAUAUAUAUAUAUUUUUUUUGGGUAUAAUUAGAAUUGUUUUAUAAGCAUUUAAAGUGGUAGCAAACUUGUUUUUAUAAUAAUGUUUUAGUGGAUGUUAUUAAGAAGAGCUAAUGAGAAAGAAGAAAAAUAGAAUGGUUAAUUAGGUGGAUAAAUAAUAAUCCGGAAAUGCAAUGGGAUAUUAUAUUAUUUAUUAUUAAAGGAAAAGUAUUUGAGAAAGGGAGCUUUCCACGUAGUCAAUUGUGGGUCCGAAAUGACAAAGUUUUUGUUCACUUUUGGUGGGACCCUGACCGACGUGGAACCAAUCAGUUUCUAAACAUAUUCUAACCGUUUCCAACUUUGCUUCUUACGACUAGUUUCCUUCAAACUAUUUUUAAAUAUAGAUUAAUCAAGUCUAUUUUGUACAACAUUUUAAAUAUAUUCAUAUUUAAAAUUCAUGGAUGUUCAAAUUUAAAAUACACAAUUACAUUUUGGUGCACAAUUAAUAUAAUCCAAGACAGUGUUAUGAAAUAGAUGGUGUAUAUCAAACACCCUAUAAUGUGAAUAAAAGCUAUUGAUGAAAUAUUACUAUCAAACAAUAUAGAUAAAAAUCGUCGUUAGAGAUUUGGACACCGUCAUUGAUAUAUCCUAUUUGUGACAGAAAUAGCACAUGUAUAAUCACACAUUUUAUUUCCUAACACCUAACUCUUCUAAUCAAUACACAGUUUAUGUAAUAAUAAGGUUGAUCAUCAUAAAUAAAACGUUAACACUCCAUUGUGUUUGAUUCAACAUUCAUCAAAUGUUAGGUAAACCAAACCAUCUUAAUUAAGAUUGAUUUUUGGAUUGUUAUAUAUUUUAAGAUAUUAUCAUUUUAUUUUAACAAAUACAGAAUUGGUCUAAGAGGUCUAAUCAACAUCAUUGAAAUAAUUAUAAAAUGAGAAAAAAGGUUUUUUUAAAUAAUAAAAUAAAUGAUGCAUGGAUAAAAGUCUAUUGUCGAUAAGAUAUGAAAAAAUCUGGUAUAUUUUGUAAAUAUUUUUAACACUUUUAUCAUUUAUAGUAAUUUCUCUUUAGAAAAAAAUCGUUUUUAUUUAAGCUUUUUUUACGAAUACUAUUUAAAAUAUACUUUCAAAACUUAUUUUGAGGAGUUAUCAAACACUUCAAACUUUUUUCUUUUAAAUGACUUUUUUUUAAAACAAUAUACUUAAAAAUAUAUUCUAAACACAUUUAUAACUAUUUAUCUUGUACAAUUUUCAAACUACAUUUUAAAGUCUAAAUGGUACCAUUAAUCAUAUUUUCAAUUUAAUAAUUAUUGGUAUGGUAUUGAACUUUCGGUUGAGGUUGCCAUUACAAAUUAAAGAUAUUUAUAUUUAAGAUCAAUACUUUAUAUAUAUCUAUAUCCAUACAUUAGAAGAUUUUCUAAAUAGUUUAUGUUUGUUUUGUUCAGAGAUAGUUUUAUUUAUGUUUAGAUCUCAUAAUAUAUGUUAAUGUAUAUUUUGUAAUUUAGGCUAAUUAUAUUACAUAACAUUCCUUAUUUAAUUUGAAUAAUUUAGCUAUUUAUGUAACAAUUGAUAUGAUUGUAAAAUAUAGAAUAUUUAUGAAUAAAGAAUAUUUCCAUAAUAUAUAAUUGAUUAUUUAAGAGUUUCUUGGUGGUUUUUUUUUUUUAAAAUUUGGAGUUGCAGCUAAGAGUGAGACCAUCCCUUAGUGAAAAGACUAAUAUAAUAACUAUUUUUUUAUUGGAUGAUUUGAGAUGGUAUAUAGCAGAUUGGUUCCAAGAGGUUACAUACCAUAGAGGAAACAAUAUUGAUUUUUUUAAUUAUUCCCUAACUCUUAAUUUUCAAAAUUGUAUAAUUGAGAGUUUGAGAAUGCAAUUGUUAUUAUCACUGGAUAAUUCAGUAAUGAUUUUAUAAUUUGUUGAUAUCUUUACUAUCACUUUCACCCACGUAAUAGCUAAAUUCUAAACACCAAAACUACCUACUUUAAUUUUGAAAACAACUAUUAAAAUAAUAAAACAAUCAAAAUCAACCUAUAUAUGUUUAUAAUUAAGCUUAAUUUUUAAAAAGAAAAACAAAAAAAACCAACAGGGUCUUAUUACUUUUUCUUUUUGACAAUUGAUUAGUUCCACUAAUUAAAAAGAUAUUUUUGCAAAUAUUGCAACAAAUUUCUUUUAACAUUUAGCAACAAAGAUAUGUGGUAGUAAAAAGAUAUGGAAAUCUACCAUAAUUUACAUUAGAAGUGACCUUUUAACUCUUUAUAAUUCAUUGUAUAAAGAAAUUAAAUAUUAUCUAAUUUUUAUUUCAAUAUUAAUAUAAUUAUUCCUUUAUUUAUUUAAUAAGUAGUUAAAGUAGUUGAUGGGAUUUUUUUUUUCUUUUUAAUUUCUUUAAACUGAUCAAAACUGAAAUAACUAUUUUAAUUUCAAACAAUAAUGAGAGUCGUAGUAUUUUUUUUUUUAAUUUUAAAAAAUGGAAUAUUAGGAGUAACACAAUAGCAUUGUUUAAAUUUUAGGGCUAACAUGUCACAUGCAUUUAUAGUCUUAUACCCAAGUGGAAAUAAUUUCUCAACGUGAAAUGAAGAAACUUAAGUAUAUAUUAAUGAAUUAAAAUAGAAAUCCAUACAAUAUUAUUGGUGUGUGACAGAUUUUCUUAG
This 14962-nucleotide long non-coding RNA is filed under the name Cucumis sativus (cucumber). RNAcentral describes it as "long non-coding RNA (CSAT_LNC000966)". Lineage: Eukaryota; Viridiplantae; Streptophyta; Magnoliopsida; Cucurbitales; Cucurbitaceae. The record is from RNAcentral.